UCAGUAACACCUAGCAGUAUAUAGUGGUAAUCCAGUAGAAUCAAAAAUAAUUCUCAAGAUUCAUGUGUGAUUCAGUCCUUCUAUUGUGAGUCCUGACUAGAUAGCAGGUCAUGGAUAAAUCAUCAAAUCUCAUCAUUAAUUAUAUGAUAGAUUCGAUCAGCUCAAGUCUAAUUAUGAUUCUUAUGAACACUCUUUUCUAUCAAUCACACUAUUGUGGUCACAGACUCUUGAACUUAGCCUCUCAAAUUUUAUAGGA
RNAcentral lists this long non-coding RNA (256 nucleotides) under Elaeis guineensis (African oil palm). Its description in RNAcentral is "long non-coding RNA (EGUI_LNC073291)". Lineage: Eukaryota; Viridiplantae; Streptophyta; Magnoliopsida; Arecales; Arecaceae. The record is from RNAcentral.